GACGAACGCUGGCGGCGUGCUUAACACAUGCAAGUCGAACGGAAAGGCCCUGCUUUUGUGGGGUGCUCGAGUGGCGAACGGGUGAGUAACACGUGAGUAACCUGCCCUUGACUUUGGGAUAACUUCAGGAAACUGGGGCUAAUACCGGAUAGGAGCUCCUGCUGCAUGGUGGGGGUUGGAAAGUUUCGGCGGUUGGGGGUGGACUCGCGGCUUAUCAGCUUGUUGGUGGGGUAGUGGCUUACCAAGGCUUUGACGGGUAGCCGGCCUGAGAGGGUGACCGGCCACAUUGGGACUGAGAUACGGCCCAGACUCCUACGGGAGGCAGCAGUGGGGAAUAUUGCACAAUGGGCGGAAGCCUGAUGCAGCAACGCCGCGUGCGGGAUGACGGCCUUCGGGUUGUAAACCGCUUUCGCCUGUGACGAAGCGUGAGUGACGGUAAUGGGUAAAGAAGCACCGGCCAACUACGUG
RNAcentral lists this ribosomal RNA (468 nucleotides) under uncultured bacterium. RNAcentral describes it as "partial 16S ribosomal RNA". It matches the Rfam family "Bacterial small subunit ribosomal RNA", at positions 28 to 507 of the family's 1533-position model. The record is from RNAcentral.